CAAGGUAUAGCUUAACUAAAGCAUCUAGUUUACACCUAGAAGAUUUCACACACUAUGAAUAUCUUGA
This 67-nucleotide transfer RNA is filed under the name Oreamnos americanus (mountain goat). Its description in RNAcentral is "tRNA-Val". The record is from RNAcentral. Lineage: Eukaryota; Metazoa; Chordata; Mammalia; Artiodactyla; Bovidae.